Long non-coding RNA from Drosophila mauritiana, 2049 nucleotides. RefSeq lists it as uncharacterized. Lineage: Eukaryota; Metazoa; Arthropoda; Insecta; Diptera; Drosophilidae. The transcript is spliced from 2 exons. The record is from RefSeq and is a predicted model, not a curated record.
CCGGCAAACGCGGUUCGCUCACUUCGCAGCUUUCGCCACUCUGGCCUUUUGCCGAUUUUCGGUUUAUCUCUAUCUCUGUGGGCAGGAAAAUCGGAAUCGAAUCGGCCCGGCCAUAUAAAAUAAAAGGCCAGACAGUGUCUGGGCUUUGGCACAGUCGUUCGUUUCGCACCAAAUGGGAGACAACAACGUAGGAGAAAAGAGAGUGAGCCACAAAAGAAAAAGAAAUAAUUCGCAGAAAAAUAGUUAACGCGCGUGUUGGUGUGCGUGUGUGUGUGAUGCGUUCGUGUGUGAGAGGCAAAGCCAAGGAAAAUGCAACGGAAGUUUUCAGUCGCAAAGAAGAAAGACAAAAAAUCGCAAAACGGAACUGAAACAUAUUGUGAAAUUCGAGCGACAGAGAAAGCGAUACAUCAACGUGGUUUCUGGAGCUUCUAGGUUUUUCUACCACCAGGAAUCAAAGAACGUGAAAGAACUCUUAAAAGAGAUGGCCGGAAAGAAGAACGAGGUUUAUUUUUAGCAUUUUGAUAUCACAAGGCAGCUUUUUUCGCUACACUACGAGAAAAAAAUGACGCAAAUGGUGACCACAUGAUUCUACAUAUUUCCAUAUAACCAACCCAUACAGACGUAGCUUUUUUUGGGGAACUUUUUGUCGCUCAAAUAUUAAUUUUAGAUUUUUUUUAACCCAGACAAAGCUCAUUGUGCGCGUGUGUGAGUGUAUUAUCGAAUUUUUAUGAGGAACUUCAAUUUUUCUUCAUUUUUUCGUCGCUCAGGGUUAAGGGCAACAACAAAAAACGAUGGCUUGGCUAGGAAAAAGCAUGUGCUGCAUUUUUGCUGAAUAAAAAAAAGAGAAGAGCGAGGAGACAACCACACAGGCAUACACAUACAAACAGACACAUACACAAGCGAAGACAGUCGGUUUUUGAGGUUAGGAAUGCCCCACCCAAGCAAUGGCUGCUCAUUUAUGUACUGCACAUAUAUACAAAAAUAUAUGUACAUAUAUAUAAAUCCGUCUGUACCGCAGAAAUUCGCCAUUAUUCACAGUCCAAAGCUGUUUGCGAUCGCAGGUUUAUGAGGCGUGUUGUAAAAAAAGAAGCCAGCCGAAAAGGUAGUUAAAAAAUACUUUUGCAAAAAUUUAAAUACCCACACAGCUUUGAGAGAAUUCGCGAAUGUAUGGUAGGCACGUGUGUGUCUCAGCUGAAUUGUGUGCCUGUGUGCGAGAGUGUGUGUGCGAUCACGCACGUAUAUGCGCGUUUCAAAUAUAGAAUAUCAAGGGUCUGCCGGACGAAGCGCAAGAAAAGAGAAUUUGCUGAAUGAAAUGUAAUAAUUCGCCGACGGAUGACGUCACGUCCUAUGUGGUCAUUAGCACUCCAGUGGCGCAACCAGGGGGCCAGUACUACGCUCCGAAAUAGUUGGUAAAACCCUUGACAAUCAAACCAAAUUAAUACACAAUUUUCAGCACUUGACGAAUGGAAGACUACUAAGUGAAAACCCCGCAAUUUGAAUCUAAAUACGCCCCUGGUUUCAGUUUUCUGCUCUCAUAUGACUAAUUUUGGCAUUGUUAUUGCAUAAAAUUCGCAUGGCGUCAUCAUCAUCAACGCGUACAACUACCAAGCUCACAAAGAUCGUUAACCCCAAAGCGACGGAGACCUAAUACCAGGCACAAGGUCGCCUCCCGUGACCCCCUCCCCAGAAGGGGGUCGACAUUCGCUGAUGCAGUUUUGUUGCCAGGCGGCGGCCAAACAUCUGUCUCAGAACUGCAAAUGCUGAAAAAGAAACCUGACUGGGCUUGGUCUGGCCUGGCUUUAUAUCUACAUCUUCAACUCCAGCCGCAGCUCCUACUCGUUAUAUAUGAUGAUGUUCCCCCGACUGAAAAGUCUCCUACCUUGCGCGCUAAUCAGUGACCGGGGCUGGUUUUUUAUAUACAGUCAGGUACCUGAAGUAGCGCGCGUGGUGGCAGACAUAUAUCUCCAUCUUCGCCAUAUAAAUAAGCCAAAUGCUCGCAGGCGAGUCCUCGCCAGAAAUCCCAUGUGUAUCAACUGUCUCCCAUGUCUA